CCUACGUGGGGCAGCAGUGAGGAAUAUUGGUCAAUGGCCGGAAGUCUGAACCAGCCAAGUCGCGUGAGGGAAUAAGGCCCUAUGGGUCGUAAACCUCUUUUGUCAGGGAGCAAAGGCGUCCACGUGUGGACGAGAGGAUAGUACCUGAAGACAAAGCCUCGGCUAACUCCGUGCAAGCAGCCGCGGUAAUACGGAGGAUGAGAGCGUUAUCCGGAUUUUUUUGGUUUAAGGGGUGCGUAGGCGGAGUGUCAAGUCAGCGGUAAAAUUUCGGGGCUCAACCCCGUCGUGCCGUUGAAACUGACGCCCUUGAGUGAGUGAGAAGUAAGCGGAAUGCGUGGUGUAGCGGUGAAAUGCAUAGAUAUCACGCAGAACGCCGAUGGCGAAGGCAGCUUACCGGAGCGCAACUGACGCUGAGGCACGAAAGUGCGGGUAUCGAACAGGAUUAGAUACCCCAGUAGUC
RNAcentral lists this ribosomal RNA (460 nucleotides) under uncultured bacterium. RNAcentral describes it as "partial 16S ribosomal RNA". It matches the Rfam family "Bacterial small subunit ribosomal RNA", at positions 338 to 795 of the family's 1533-position model. The record is from RNAcentral.